Molecule: long non-coding RNA, 1453 nt
Organism: Oncorhynchus tshawytscha (Chinook salmon)
Lineage: Eukaryota; Metazoa; Chordata; Actinopteri; Salmoniformes; Salmonidae
Source: Ensembl
GGUUAGAGUGGAGGGGCGGCAGGGUAGCCUAGUGGUUAGAGUGGAGGGGCGGCAGGGUAGCCUAGUGGUUAGAGGGGAGGGGCGGCAGGGUAGCCUAGUGGUUAGAGUGGGAGGGGCGGCAGGGUAGCCUAGUGGUUAGAGUGGAGGGGGGUGGCAGGGUAGCCUAGUGGUUAGAGUGGAGGGGUGGCAGGGUAGCCUAGUGGUUAGAGUGGAGGGGCGGCAGGGGAGUGGGGGUGGAGGGGUGGCAGGGUAGCCUAGUGGUUAGAGUGGAGGGGCGGCAGGGUAGCCUAGUGGUUAGAGUGGAGGGGUGCAGGGUAGACUAGUGGUUAGAGUGGAGGGGCGGCAGGGUAGACUAGUGGUUAGAGUGGAGGGGCGGCAGGGUAGACUAGUGGUUAGAGUGGAGGGGCGGCAGGGUAGCCUAGUGGUUAGAGUGGAGGGGCGGCAGGGUAGCCUAGUGGUUAGAGUGGAGGGGCGGCAGGGUAGCCUAGUGGUUAGAGUGGAGGGGCGGCAGGGUAGAAUAGUGGUUAGAGGGGAGUGGAGGCAGGGUAGCCUAGUGGGUAGAGUGGAGGGGCGGCAGGUAGCCUAGUGGUUAGAGUGGAGGGGUGGCAGGGUAGACUAUUGGUUAGAGAGGAGGGGAGGCAGGGUAGCCUAGUGGUUAGAGUGGAGGGGUGGCAGGGUAGCCUAGUGGUUAGAGGGGAGGGGCGGUAGGUAGCCUAAUGGUUAGAGGGGAGGGGCGGCAGGGUAGCCUAUUGGUUAGAGGGGAGGGGUGGCAGGGUAGACUAGUGUUUAGAGUGGAGGGGUGGAGGGGCAGGGGCAGGGUAGCCUAGUGGUUAGAGUGGAGGUGCGGCAGGGUAGCCUAGUGGUUAGAGUGGAGGGGUGGCAGAGUAGACUAGUGGUUAGAGUGGAGGGGCGGCAGGGUAGUCUAGUGGUUAGAGUGGAGGGGCGGCAGGGUAGACUAGUGGUUAGAGUGGAGGUGCGGCAGGGUAGCCUAGUGGUUAGAGGGGGGGGCGGCAGGGUAGACUAGUGGUUAGAGUGGAGGUGCGGCAGGGUAGCCUAGUGGUUAGAGGGGAGGGGCGGCAGGGUAGCCUAGUGGGUAGAGUGGAGGGGCGGCAAGUAGCCUAGUGGUUAGAGUGGAGGGGCGGCAGGGUAGCCUAGUGGUUAGAGUGGAGGGGUGGCAGGGUAGCCUAGUGGUUAGAGUGAAGGGGCGGCAGGGUAGCCUAGUGGUUAGAGUGGAGGGGCGGCAGGGUAGUCUAGUGGUUAGAGUGGAGGGGCGGCAGGGUAGCCUAGUGGUUAGAGUGUUGGACUAGUGACCGGAAGGUUGCAAGUUCAAACCCCCGAGCUGACAAGGUACAAAUCUGUCGUUCUGCCCCUGAACAGGCAGUUAACCCACUGUUCCCAGGCCGUCAUUGAAAAUAAGAAUUUGUUCUUAACUGACUUGCCUCGUUAAAUAAAG